AAGAAGAAGAAGAAAAAGAAGAUUGAGAUUUCCACGUGGUGCAAAAACCAAAGGAAAAAGCGAAUCCAUCAAAAUUCACACCAAGGCAGAAAGGUGCGGUGAUGCCGUCCCGUCUUUAUGGGAGGGAGCUGCCCUCCCUCUGACGUGAGCAAAAUCCAAAAGGAAGAGGGGAGGUGCAAGCAGCAGCCCCAGGGUUCUGCACAGUCUGGAGCGGCUGGAUCCAUCGCCACGAGAACGGUCUGCUCUGCACACCUGAGGAAGUGCAAAAAAGUGGAGGAAAGAAAGAAAAAAGAAAGAAAGAAAAGGAGAGAAAGAGCCCUCUGUGCUCCCGGGCACUGUCUGAUGCUGUCACACCAAAGCCAGCUGCCUCCUGCUCCGAGCACAGGGGACCCCUUCAACUUUACAGGUGCAGCAGGUCUCACUGAUGUCUGCCUGAGCAUCUCCAGCUCCCCAGUGAUGGUGUAACCAGGUACUGCUGGACAGGCUGAGGUUCCUGCCACAUCACCGUCCAAGUGCAGCCACUCACAUCUCCCCUGGCUGCCCUGUUUGAUUUUCUGAUGACUGCAGAAAGAAAUGCAGUGGUUUGACUCAGAACAGGAAGGGUGAAAACCCUGGCCAUAAACUGGGACUUUACACUUGAAUAUCAACAAGCAGAGUCAUCAGAACUCUCCAAAAGCAAUCAGCGGCUUUAAGAGAUUUUAUUUUGGAGAAAGCAUCCAACUGUGUUGGAUUACAGUUAGCAUGGAUGCUGGUCUCCACGGAAAAUCCUGCAGCCUGGGAGGAGGUUGGUGGCUUGCCUGGCUCAGCUGGGGAUGGGCGAACAGGGGAGGUUGAAGGCCUCCAUCAUCCCUGAGCGUUCCUCCCCUACCCCAACAGGUCCCAGUCUCGGUACCUUUGCUGCUCCAGGCACCAGCCCAGCUGGUUCCCCAAGGGGCUUUGGGGACAUUCAUUGAGAAGUGGGGGUGAUUGAUCACCCUCAGCAAAGGGCAAUGAAGGAGCUGCGCUGAAGCUCACUACUGUAAUAAAUGUUCAGUGCAAAAUCUAUGUUAAUG
Molecule: long non-coding RNA, 1052 nt
Filed under: Numida meleagris (helmeted guineafowl)
Lineage: Eukaryota; Metazoa; Chordata; Aves; Galliformes; Numididae
Description: lncRNA (ENSNMEG00000003295.1)
Source: RNAcentral